CUCCUGCAAGGAUUCUGACCGGACCGAUCCGACUUCGGCUGCCGCUUUCCAGUGCGCAAUUCAUUCCAUUCGUUUCGAGAUCCAUGAGAUAUCAAGAUGAUAAAUGGAACUAGGAUUGCUCCUGAAGUACUGUCAUUAGGGAGUUUUUAAUUAGCAGGGGACGCAUGUAUAGUGAGACGCAGCAGUUAUUGCCGAAACCGCAGCGCUCAGCAGCAAAGGCCUGAUGGCCUCGUGACCAGCGGCCCGCCUGCUGAGGCGCCGGCCGAUCAGCCUACUCUAAUAAGCUUAUGACAUUGAUGGGCUUUUCUUCCCCCCCCCACCCCCCCGUAUCGUUGCAUUUCAAGAACUCAGCCUUGGACCGAGAGGAAGAAACCUUCACCUUUUCCAUUUUUCUAAUUUCUCAUCUCUCCGCUUCCACCACAUCUUGCUAGGCUGCGUUUGUCAUCUCCUCCUCAGAUUCACACGCAGCUCCUCAAUUUGAAGCUUCGUGUCACUCAAACAUCCUGAGCUCCAUCUCCCUGCCCCUUGGCCCACUGAUCCAGCUAUCAAUCUCCAUCCGUAAUCCCCUACAUGAAUCUCCAAUCCAAU
Molecule: long non-coding RNA, 588 nt
Organism: Gasterosteus aculeatus aculeatus (three-spined stickleback)
Lineage: Eukaryota; Metazoa; Chordata; Actinopteri; Perciformes; Gasterosteidae
Source: Ensembl